Molecule: long non-coding RNA, 799 nt
Filed under: Phasianus colchicus (ring-necked pheasant)
Lineage: Eukaryota; Metazoa; Chordata; Aves; Galliformes; Phasianidae
Description: lncRNA (ENSPCLG00000016380.1)
Source: RNAcentral
UUGCAGGUGAAAUUCUGUGCAAGAAAAUGUGAAGUAAAGCAUAAUGGCAAAAGAAUGUUACCUGUGGUUUAAUUUUGUGUGUGUUAACAAAAAAUUCUCAAUCUCUUUUACAGGUCUGUACAGAGAACUCUGAAACAGAAAGCAAGUUAGAAGAUAAUUUCUUUUGAUUGCGUUUUGGGCAUCUGCUGUUCCAAUUGGGCUCUUUUGGAAAGAAGCGUCCAGUGGGAUGAAUGCAAUUGGGGAGUCAAGGCAGAAGGAGUUUGAUACGAUUUGGAGUUCCAGGACUUGCUGAACUCACCCCUGGUGCUUUAGCUUUGGGAACAUUAAAUCCUUGCAGAUUGUUCUCCUACAACCUGUAAUGGCCUCAUGAGAGCUACUACUAGUCAUUUGCACAGCUCCAGUGUUGAGCCAGAAAUCUCCAGGUUUCCUGAGGGCAUCAAUCUCUGGAUUAAUAAGGCAACUUUCCACCAUCUCUUCUGGGAUAUCUGGUUGUGUCAGGGUUUCUCUGGUGGUCAGUUCUGAAGACCAGGCUCCCACCUUUGGCUGCAUCUCCUGUAUUUCACUGCACUCACUGAUGUCCCUGCUCCGUGCACAUCAGAAGACACGCACGCUGAAACUGCCAUGCCUCUUCUAACAUCAGGGAAGAGACCAGGGUACAUCAUGCGUUAGCUCAGCUCUCGUGGGAACAGCAGGAUCAGUUGUUCAGAUGUCUUGAAGCCAUCUGCCAUGGGUACCUGAGGUUGCUGUCUACGCUGGGAGUCUCCCACGGGGAAACAGAAAAUAAAAAUUGUUUUUCACC